This 77-nucleotide transfer RNA is filed under the name Candidatus Dojkabacteria bacterium. RNAcentral's name for it is "tRNA-Ile". It matches the Rfam family "tRNA". Rfam says of the family: Transfer RNA (tRNA) molecules are approximately 80 nucleotides in length. The record is from RNAcentral.
GAGCCAUUAGCUCAGUUGGUUAGAGCACGGUUCUUAUAAAGCCGGGGUCGCUGGUUCAAGCCCAGCAUGGCUCACCA